This 544-nucleotide ribosomal RNA is filed under the name uncultured bacterium. RNAcentral's name for it is "bacterial SSU rRNA". It matches the Rfam family "Bacterial small subunit ribosomal RNA", at positions 777 to 1319 of the family's 1533-position model. The record is from RNAcentral.
AAUAGAUACCCUGGUAGUCCACCCCGUAAACGUUGGGAACUAGUUGUGGGGUCCUUUCCACGGAUUCCGUGACGCAGCUAACGCAUUAAGUUCCCCGCCUGGGGAGUACGGCCGCAAGGCUAAAACUCAAAGGAAUUGACGGGGACCCGCACAAGCGGCGGAGCAUGCGGAUUAAUUCGAUGCAACGCGAAGAACCUUACCAAGGCUUGACAUACACCAGAACACCCUAGAAAUAGGGGACUCUUUGGACACUGGUGAACAGGUGGUGCAUGGUUGUCGUCAGCUCGUGUCGUGAGAUGUUGGGUUAAGUCCCGCAACGAGCGCAACCCUCGUUCUAUGUUGCCAGCACGUAAUGGUGGGAACUCAUGGGAUACUGCCGGGGUCAACUCGGAGGAAGGUGGGAUGACGUCAAAUCAUCAUGCCCCUUAUGUCUUGGGCUUCACGCAUGCUACAAUGGCCGGUACAAAGGGCUGCAAUACCGUGAGGUGGAGCGAAUCCCAAAAACGCCGGUCCCAGUUCGGAUUGAGGUCUGCAACUCGACCUC